UGAGGAAUAUUGGACAAUGGGCGCAAGCCUGAUCCAGCAAUGCCGCGUGCAGGAUGAAGGCCUUCGGGUUGUAAACUGCUUUUGUACGGAGCGAAAAGGUCUGCCCUAAUACGGUGGGCUCAUGACGGUACCGUAAGAAUAAGCACCGGCUAACUACGUGCCAGCAGCCGCGGUAAUACGUAGGGUGUGAGCGUUAAUCGGAAUUACUGGGCGUAAAGCGUGCGCAGGCGGUUAUAUAAGACAGAUGUGAAAUCCCCGGGCUCAACCUGGGACCUGCAUUUGUGACUGUAUAGCUAGAGUACGGUAGAGGGGGAUGGAAUUCCGCGUGUAGCAGUGAAAUGCGUAGAUAUGCGGAGGAACACCGAUGGCGAAGGCAAUCCCCUGGACCUGUACUGACGCUCAUGCACGAAAGCGUGGGGAGCAAACA
This 427-nucleotide ribosomal RNA is filed under the name uncultured bacterium. RNAcentral's name for it is "bacterial SSU rRNA". It matches the Rfam family "Bacterial small subunit ribosomal RNA", at positions 355 to 774 of the family's 1533-position model. The record is from RNAcentral.